AGAGCGAACGCUGGCGGCAGGCCUAACACAUGCAAGUCGAGCGCCCGUAGCAAUACGGGAGCGGCAGACGGGAUAGUAACACGUGGGAACGCGCCCUUCGAUUCGGAAUAACUCAGGGAAACUUGAGCUAAUACCGGAUACGCCCUUACGGGGAAAGAUUUAUUGCCGAAGGAACGGCCCGCGUCCGAUUAGCCAGUUGGUGAGGUAAUGGCUCACCAAGGCGACGAUCGGUAGCUGGUCUGAGAGGAUGACCAGCAUCACUGGGACUGAGACACGGCCCAGACUCCUACGGGAGGCAGCAGUGGGGAAUAUUGGACAAUGGGCGCAAGCCUGAUCCAGCCAUGCCGCGUGGAUGAUGAAGGCCUUAGGGUUGUAAAGUCCGUUUUAACGGGGAAGAUAAUGACGGUACCCGUAGAAUAAGCCCCGGCUAACUUCGUGCCAGCAGCCGC
RNAcentral lists this ribosomal RNA (449 nucleotides) under uncultured bacterium. Its description in RNAcentral is "SSU rRNA". It matches the Rfam family "Bacterial small subunit ribosomal RNA", at positions 26 to 518 of the family's 1533-position model. The record is from RNAcentral.